UGCUCUGUAUCUAUGUACUGUUGCCUCAUCGUUCAGACCCUGGGCUUGAAGAAAAACUGAGGGGAAAACAAGAAAAAUGUCAUCACCCUUCUGAAAUAUGGCCAAGGAAGUUACACAGAACUUCCCCAACAUCCCCUCCCAAAUUGAUAUGGAACCUUCAAAAACACAUGGAGCAACUGCGAAAAGAAAUGUCUGAGGAUAUACUAAAAAUGUCUGAGUUCAAACAAAGCCAACAACUGCUUCAUGUGUGCCACUGAUGAAGAACCUGGAUGUGGCCCAGACUGACUGGGAAUGAAGACACCAGAGUUCAACAGAGUAAAGAACACAAACUGGAAGUGCAGUGUUGUUGAAAAUGUAUGCUAUACCCCAUCCACAGUGAAGAGGCUCUGACAUGUACAUCAACCAGGGACAAAGAGAAAGUUAACACUGUAAAAUGUUUCAUACUUAAAUGAAGUUCAGUUUCUGUUGACAUGUUGGAAAUUAUUAAAGGUCUACAAUUUGUUUAAUUUGUCAAUAUGACAUUUUUAUUCAUUGAUUUACUGGCCACCAUGACUGUGGUUAGAUGAUCAGAAUAUGUAUUGACCAGUA
Molecule: long non-coding RNA, 588 nt
Organism: Oncorhynchus gorbuscha (pink salmon)
Lineage: Eukaryota; Metazoa; Chordata; Actinopteri; Salmoniformes; Salmonidae
Exons: 4
Source: RefSeq, a predicted model, not a curated record